Dipodomys ordii (Ord's kangaroo rat) is the source of this 58-nucleotide non-coding RNA. NCBI's taxonomy places the organism in Eukaryota, Metazoa, Chordata, Mammalia, Rodentia, Heteromyidae. The record is from Rfam.
UGGCUCAGUGGUAGAGCGCUUGCCUUGCAUGCACGAGGCCCUGGGUUCGAUUCCUCAG